RNAcentral lists this ribosomal RNA (261 nucleotides) under uncultured bacterium. RNAcentral's name for it is "partial 16S ribosomal RNA". It matches the Rfam family "Bacterial small subunit ribosomal RNA", at positions 793 to 1055 of the family's 1533-position model. The record is from RNAcentral.
GUCCACGCCGUAAACGAUGAUAACUAGGUGUUGGAGGAUUGACCCCUUCAGUGCCGCAGUUAACACAAUAAGUAAUCCACCUGGGGAGUACGACCGCAAGGUUGAAACUCAAAGGAAUUGACGGGGGCCCGCACAAGCAGUGGAGUAUGUGGUUUAAUUCGACGCAACGCGAAGAACCUUACCAAGUCUUGACAUCCUGCGACGGUGCUGGAAACAGUACUUUCCUUCGGGACGCAGAGACAGGUGGUGCAUGGUUGUCGU